Molecule: ribosomal RNA, 498 nt
Filed under: uncultured bacterium
Lineage: Bacteria
Description: partial 16S ribosomal RNA
Rfam family: Bacterial small subunit ribosomal RNA
Source: RNAcentral
AUUGAACGCUGGCGGCAUGCCUUACACAUGCAAGUCGAACGGUAACAGGUCUUCGGAUGCUGACGAGUGGCGAACGGGUGAGUAAUACAUCGGAACGUGCCUAGUAGUGGGGGAUAACUACUCGAAAGAGUGGCUAAUACCGCAUGAGAUCUACGGACGAAAGCGGGGGAUCGCAAGACCUCGCGCAAUUGGAGCGGCCGAUAGCAGAUUAGGUAGUUGGUGGGGUAAAGGCCCACCAAGCCAACGAUCUGUAGCUGGUCUGAGAGGACGACCAGCCACACUGGGACUGAGACACGGCCCAGACUCCUACGGGAGGCAGCAGUGGGGAAUUUUGGACAAUGGACGCAAGUCUGAUCCAGCCAUGCCGCGUGCGGGAAGAAGGCCUUCGGGUUGUAAACCGCUUUUGUCAGGGAAGAAAAGGGCGACUCUAAUACAGUUGCCUCAUGACGGUACCUGAAGAAUAAGCACCGGCUAACUACGUGCCAGCAGCCGCCGCAG